RNAcentral lists this long non-coding RNA (551 nucleotides) under Mustela putorius furo (domestic ferret). RNAcentral's name for it is "lncRNA (ENSMPUG00000024044.1)". The record is from RNAcentral. Lineage: Eukaryota; Metazoa; Chordata; Mammalia; Carnivora; Mustelidae.
CGUAAACACCAUUUCCGCCGGCAGCUGUAGAGUUGUGGACGGAGUGGGGUCAGUGAGGGCCUGGGUUUAGACAAGGCGAAGAUCAAAUGCCGGCUUUUUCUGGCUGUGUUCCUUUGGGCUGGGUAAUUAACCCCUCUGUACUUCAGCAUUGUAAAACGGAGAUUAAAAAAAAAAUAUCUACCUUCUAGGACAGUUGUACCUAAUGAAAUCAAAAGGACUUUAAUAAAUGGUAAUUACUAUUUUCAUAAUAAUAAUUAUUAAUGUUUUGGGAGGUGAGGUGGGUGGUCAGGAAGGGAUUCCAAGAAGGGAUUUUAAGACAGACUCACGGUGUUAGAGAUGAACUAACCCAGUUACUUCAUUUUACAGAUGGGGAAACUGAGGCCCAGCAGAUGGCCGAGCUUGAGUAUGGGUGGAAUGCAGAUAUAACGGAUGGAGUCAAGCAGCUGUCUUGGACGAUGAGGUGGGAAGCGAGAAAGGUAAGGCAGUAAGAGAAAAGUACCUUGGGUCUCUGUUGAUUGUAAAGCUGACGUAUCAGUCUGGACUGCUUGCCU